UGCCCGCCGCCCAAGGCUCCUGGCUGCGAGCCGCUGGGUCCCGGCACGGAGGUGUCGGGGCCGGGGAGGAGGGCGGCGGAGGGAGGAGGGCUCCGGGCGGCUGCGGGGCCCCGAGCGGUGCCCGCUUCCUCCCACGGUCUCCCGAAACCCGCCGGGUUCCGGUUUGGGUGCUUGCUAGUCUUGCCCCUGGGGAUAUGUCCUUUGCGUGGAUAAAGAAGGAAUAAUCCUCAGGCGGCGGACAGGAGCGGGUUUAAGCAGGGAAUGGGCACGGAUGUUCCUCCGCAGCCAAGCUCGCCGUGCUGUGAGGGCGGGUGGGUGCAGGAGCGGGUCCCUUUGCCAGGGCAGGGGGACAUACAUCUUUAUCGCCUGUUUGCAGUCAUUUGCCGCGUUAUCGUGCAGCCAUUCGGCAUUUUACUGAAAGCAGGACAGAAAUUAUUGCGGGAAACGACAGAGGAGCUCCGGUUGUGUCGAAGUGCAACACUGAAGAGAAUGCUUCUUUCUUCAGUAAAUUAACAUAUUCCUGGUUUGGCGGGCUUCUUGCAUCCAGAGAGUGCUAUUUAAGAAAACAAGUUUUCCUCGAAACAUCUUUGAUUUUGCCAUUAUGGCAAACAUUUAAGUAUUUAUUGAUUAAAGUUUAAUUUCUGAAAGUUACAGGUGACAUUCUGGCUUUUAUGAGUCCACAAGUAAUGAAAUCAAUGAUUGUGGCAGUGAAACCCAGCCUAGUUUGUGUGGGAGUGGCUGUGGCUAUACUAUUGCCCAGUUUUUGUGGUUCUUUCACAAACUCUUCUCCAUCAGUUAUACCAUCGGAACAACGUUCUUACAGCAGUCAAAAUCAAGACCGCAGUUGUUGGCCUGGUCUACAAAAGAGUAGUCAUGUCAGCAUUCCUGAAGGCUCUUUAGUUGCUGUUGUGGAACAGGUUGGAUCUGGAAAGUCAUCUUUUCUUUCUGCUAUUCUUGGAGAAAUGGAGAAACUUGAAGGAAUGGUUCAGAGUAGAAUAAGAUUGUCCGUCUUCCCCUGCCCUUUCCACUCCUCAAUACUCCAGUUAAGCAGAACUAAUGAACAGAUAUUCAGAGGGCAUAUAGGUUAAUGUAAAAAAAAAUAUUUAAAAGCACUUUGUUCCUAUCCUGUAAUCUUAAAUUCUAAAGCUGACACAUUCCACAUUUUAUGUAUAAAUACAGACCAUCAAACGGUGUUUUGAUGUCUAAUAAGACCCAGUUUCCUGCAUAUAGAUAUUACAAUGGAUGCCUGUUUGUCACUAUGAUCUUUCCCUGGAAGACUUUGCUCCAUAUAUGUCCCAGCUCUGUCAGUUUUAUUCAGUCAUAUGUGUUUUUUUAUAGGAAAGCUGUUACAGUGUAAUAUGCAGCAGAUUGUUUCUAUUACCUGACUUAAUAAAAAUUUUAACAACA
This is a long non-coding RNA of Passer montanus (Eurasian tree sparrow), 1407 nucleotides long. RefSeq lists it as uncharacterized. The record is from RefSeq and is a predicted model, not a curated record. NCBI's taxonomy places the organism in Eukaryota, Metazoa, Chordata, Aves, Passeriformes, Passeridae. The transcript is spliced from 4 exons.